Molecule: small RNA, 158 nt
Filed under: Actinacidiphila glaucinigra
Lineage: Bacteria; Bacillati; Actinomycetota; Actinomycetes; Kitasatosporales; Streptomycetaceae
Description: Streptomyces glauciniger c-di-AMP sequence
Rfam family: c-di-AMP riboswitch aptamer (ydaO/yuaA leader)
About the family: This family represents a conserved RNA structure found upstream of the ydaO and yuaA genes in Bacillus subtilis and related genes in other bacteria. The ydaO/yuaA element is thought to act as a genetic "off" switch for the ydaO and yuaA genes in its native state.
Source: RNAcentral
GAGCAACGAUCGCCGAGUCCCCGUCGGGCGUGAGCCUGGGGAGCCGGGGACCCACCUGAGAUGUCCCUGGGGUGAAUCGGGCGGCGUGCCGCUGCCCGUAGGAGACCUUCCUGCUCCGAACCCGUCAGCUAACCCGGUAGGCGAGAAGGAAGGAAAGG